Arabidopsis thaliana (thale cress) is the source of this 388-nucleotide long non-coding RNA. RefSeq annotates it as other RNA. The record is from RefSeq. Lineage: Eukaryota; Viridiplantae; Streptophyta; Magnoliopsida; Brassicales; Brassicaceae. The transcript has a single exon.
CGUUGUUUCUCCUUUCUCCAUUCUACUUUUUGGCAGGAUCAAUGUUCAUCAUCAGGUACUGUUAAUUAUGUCUUACUGUCAGCGAAACAUCCCGAACAAAUGAUUAAAAAACUAACUUUAUCACACAGAACCCUGGCCUUAAUUUCUAAUACAAUGCUUGUUGGAUACGUAAUCUAUAUUUUCUUUACUUCACUUUCAGUCACAAUUGAUGGAUGGUUGAAGCAAGCAGCACCAGCUCAAACCGCGGUUCUGUUCAAAGAGCUCCGGUUAAUCCUGCAUUCUGUUCUCAAAGAUCUCAUCCGAGAACCCGAGGUUGCAUGUUCAGUCCUUUGAUGGAUCCACUUGAUGAAGUAGCUCAUGCCUAAAUCCACUCUUCACGCUUGUUUGU